UGAUGUUUGUGCAGGAAUAGA
This 21-nucleotide non-coding RNA is filed under the name Mus musculus (house mouse). The record is from RNAcentral. Lineage: Eukaryota; Metazoa; Chordata; Mammalia; Rodentia; Muridae.